ACUACGGGGGCAGCAGUGGGGAAUAUUGGACAAUGGGCGAAAGCCUGAUCCAGCCAUGCCGCGUGUGUGAAGAAGGCCUUCGGGUUGUAAAGCACUUUCAGUGGGGAAGAAAGCCUUGGGGCUAAUACCCUCGAGGAAGGACAUCACCCACAGAAGAAGCACCGGCUAACUCCGUGCCAGCAGCCGCGGUAAUACGGAGGGUGCGAGCGUUAAUCGGAAUUACUGGGCGUAAAGCGCGCGUAGGCGGUCUGAUAAGCCGGUUGUGAAAGCCCCGGGCUCAACCUGGGAACGGCAUCCGGAACUGUCAGGCUAGAGUGCAGGAGAGGAAGGUAGAAUUCCCGGUGUAGCGGUGAAAUGCGGAGAGAUCGGGAGGAAUACCAGUGGCGAAGGCGGCCUUCUGGACUGACACUGACGCUGAGGUGCGAAAGCGUGGGUAGCAAACAGGAUUAGAUACCCUGGUAGUC
RNAcentral lists this ribosomal RNA (464 nucleotides) under Vreelandella stevensii. RNAcentral's name for it is "partial 16S ribosomal RNA". It matches the Rfam family "Bacterial small subunit ribosomal RNA", at positions 338 to 795 of the family's 1533-position model. Lineage: Bacteria; Pseudomonadati; Pseudomonadota; Gammaproteobacteria; Oceanospirillales; Halomonadaceae. The record is from RNAcentral.